RNAcentral lists this ribosomal RNA (246 nucleotides) under uncultured bacterium. RNAcentral's name for it is "partial 16S ribosomal RNA". It matches the Rfam family "Bacterial small subunit ribosomal RNA", at positions 116 to 354 of the family's 1533-position model. The record is from RNAcentral.
CGUGGGUAACCUGCCCAAGAGACUGGGAUAACACCUGGAAACAGAUGCUAAUACCGGAUAACAACACUAGACGCAUGUCUAGAGUUUAAAAGAUGGUUCUGCUAUCACUCUUGGAUGGACCUGCGGUGCAUUAGCUAGUUGGUAAGGUAACGGCUUACCAAGGCGAUGAUGCAUAGCCGAGUUGAGAGACUGAUCGGCCACAUUGGGACUGAGACACGGCCCAAACUCCUACGGGAGGCAGCAGAA